CCUGCGGCGGCCUAUACAUGCAAGUCGAACGGUAACAGACCUGGCAACAGGUGCUGACGAGUGGCGCACGGGUGCGUAACACGUAUGCAACCUACCCUGUACUGGGGGAUAACCCUGAGAAAUCGGGGCUAAUACCCCAUGGUAAUAUAGAUGGGCAUCCAUUUAUAUUUAAAGAUUCAUUGGUACGGGAUGGGCAUGCGCCCCAUUAGUUAGUUGGUGAGGUAACGGCUCACCAAGGCAUUGAUGGGUAGGGGUUCUGAGAGGAUUACCCCCCACACUGGUACUGAGACACGGACCAGACUCCUACGGGAGGCAGCAGUAAGGAAUAUUGGGCAAUGGAGGCAACUCUGACCCAGCCAUGCCGCGUGCAGGAAGACUGCCCUAUGGGUUGUAAACUGCUUUUUCAGGGGACUAACCGUGGUUACGUGUAGCCAUCUGCAUGUACCCUGAGAAUAAGCAUCGGCUAACUCCGUGCCAGCAGCCGCGGUAAUACGGAGGAUGCGAGCGUUAUCCGGAUUUAUUGGGUUUAAAGGGUGCGUAGGCUGACAUGUAAGUCAGUGGUGAAAGACCCCGGCUUAACCGGGGGGUUGCCAUUGAAACUGUAUGUCUUGAGUGUAAUCGAAGUGGGCGGAAUGAGGGGUGUAGCGGUGAAAUGCAUAGAUAUUCCUCAGAACACCGAUAGCGAAGGCAGCUCCCUAGCUUACAACUGACGCUGANGCACGAAAGCGUGGGUAUCAAACAGGAUUAGAUACCCUGGUAGUCCACGCUGU
RNAcentral lists this ribosomal RNA (770 nucleotides) under uncultured bacterium. RNAcentral's name for it is "bacterial SSU rRNA". It matches the Rfam family "Bacterial small subunit ribosomal RNA", at positions 36 to 803 of the family's 1533-position model. The record is from RNAcentral.